Nicotiana tabacum (common tobacco) is the source of this 143-nucleotide non-coding RNA. The record is from RefSeq and is a predicted model, not a curated record. Lineage: Eukaryota; Viridiplantae; Streptophyta; Magnoliopsida; Solanales; Solanaceae.
CUACAUGUAUGGAGGAGGAGCUGGAACAAUGACAUUGGAUGAAUUGCAUUCACUUGAAAAAUACCUUGAACUUUGGAUGUUUCAUAUUCGUUCAGCAAAGAUGGAUAUCAUGUUUCAAGAGAUCCAGUUGCUGAAGAAUAAGG